CAUUUUUUUUUGAGCUCUUGCACUAGCAGGAUUUAAAUUGUGGUGGUUUUCAUUGAUCUUGACCACCUGAAAACAGAGAGGCCUGUUUGUGAGCAAAGAAUGACAUGGCUUCUUGGGAUUUUUACUUUUUGGCUGUUGAUGGUUAUGAUUUUGGCACAGAAGAGUUCCAAUGUCCUGUCUACACAGAGGAAUUUCAAUGUGGUGCCAGCACAGAAUUUUAACCAACGAACAGGCCUGAAGACUGAUGUUCUGGGAAGUUAUAUGAGGCUAACUGUAGACAAGUCUCUUACUCUUGGAAAUCAAGUUG
Cyprinus carpio (common carp) is the source of this 307-nucleotide long non-coding RNA. RefSeq lists it as uncharacterized. NCBI's taxonomy places the organism in Eukaryota, Metazoa, Chordata, Actinopteri, Cypriniformes, Cyprinidae. The transcript is spliced from 3 exons. The record is from RefSeq and is a predicted model, not a curated record.